Molecule: small RNA, 148 nt
Filed under: Escherichia coli W
Lineage: Bacteria; Pseudomonadati; Pseudomonadota; Gammaproteobacteria; Enterobacterales; Enterobacteriaceae
Description: sRNA activator of glmS mRNA
Source: RNAcentral
AAGGCGGUGCCUAACUCGACGUUUCGCCCGAUGGUUGAUAUAGCUACGCUGAUAUCAGAAGUUGGACGGCAGGCACCUUGUUGUGCGUCAUUCGAAUUUUAUGUAGCACGUCCCGAAGGGGCUGACAUAAGUCGGUGAAUGAGCCACU